GACGAACGCUGGCGGCGUGCUUAACACAUGCAAGUCGAACGACGUGGCGAACGGGUGAGUAAGGCGUAAUCACCCUGCCCUUCAGAGGGGGAAAAACGUGAGAAACGACUGCUAAUACCACAUACUGAAGGAGGGGAUUGCGUCUGAUUGGCUAGGUGGAGGGGUAACGGCCCACCAAGGCGAUGAUCAGUAGGCGGUCUGAGAGGAUGAACGGCCACAUGGGGACUGAGACACGGCCCAGACUCCUACGGGAGACAGCAGUGGGGAAUCUUCCGAAAUGGAGGAAAGUCUGACGGAGCAACGCCGCGUGAGUGAUGACGGCCUUCGGGUUGUAAAGCUCUGUUAAUCGGGACGCGGUACCGGAAUAGAAAGCCACGGCUAACUACGUGCCAGCAGCCGCGGUAAUAC
Molecule: ribosomal RNA, 408 nt
Filed under: uncultured bacterium
Lineage: Bacteria
Description: partial 16S ribosomal RNA
Rfam family: Bacterial small subunit ribosomal RNA
Source: RNAcentral